Molecule: long non-coding RNA, 568 nt
Organism: Raphanus sativus (radish)
Lineage: Eukaryota; Viridiplantae; Streptophyta; Magnoliopsida; Brassicales; Brassicaceae
Exons: 3
Source: RefSeq, a predicted model, not a curated record
AUUGGGAAAGCAGAGAAACCCUAAUUUCACAACCAAAAGGCAAAGGAUUCAGCGGAACAAAGAGAAAGAGAUGAUGAAGAACUCGUCGGCGCAAACGAUUUUCGCGAGUGUUAGGAGAGGAUUCUCAUCAAUCGCGGAUUCCUCCGUGUCUCCGAGGGCCAAGCAUGUGUGGAAGGAGCAGGACAAAUUUGUUCUUGGUUUAGCAUUUGUGGGAGGAUGGUUCGGCAAAGCUGCAAUAAAUACUUACAAGAGAAGAGAGCAUUGCUUAAGAGUAGGCAAGUCCAUCGAGGACGAGGAAAAGCGUAUCCGUAUCCGAGGGGAAAUUCGUAAUAAGGGAAAGAAGAAGGAUGAUUGAUGUCUAGGCUACUAAUACUACCUGUGUGUUGUUCGUGGGAAACUCGAUCUAGACUUCGUUUUAUCUAUCAUCCCUGACUUAUUUGCGUAAUAAUAAUGGACGUUUGUGGUGUGUUUUAUUUUUAUUUUUAUGAUAUCUCUACUGCUACUACUUAUUUGUGUGUAAUAAUGAAAACAACAAAGAGGAUGAGAAACUCUUCUUACCUCUGCAACA